Molecule: transfer RNA, 75 nt
Filed under: Acidobacteriota bacterium
Lineage: Bacteria; Pseudomonadati; Acidobacteriota
Also listed under: 1 other name
Description: Acidobacteria bacterium tRNA-Trp
Rfam family: tRNA
About the family: Transfer RNA (tRNA) molecules are approximately 80 nucleotides in length. Their secondary structure includes four short double-helical elements and three loops (D, anti-codon, and T loops).
Source: RNAcentral
GGGAGAUUCGUCCGGCGGCUAGGACACUGGUCUCCAAAUCCAGGUACGAGGGUUCGAGUCCUUCAUCUCCCGCCA